AGCAGCCGCGGUAAUUCCAGCUCCAAUAGCGUAUAUUAAAGUUGUUGCAGUUAAAAAGCUCGUAGUUGAAUUUCGGGGUUAGUAGGUUGGUCAUGCCUCUGGUAUGUACUGGUCUCACUGAUUCCUCCUUCCUGAUGAACCGUAAUGCCAUUAAUUUGGUGUUGCGGGGAAUUUGGACUGUUACUUUGAAAAAAUUAGAGUGUUUAAAGCAAGCUAACGCUUGAAUACAUUAGCAUGGAAUAAUGAAAUAGGACGUUCGAUCCUAUUUUGUUGGUUUCUAGGAUUGACGUAAUGAUUAAUAGGGAUAGUUGGGGGCAUUAGUAUUCAAUUGUCAGAGGUGAAAUUCUUGGAUUUAUUGAAGACUAACUACUGCGAAAGCAUUUGCCAAGGAUGUUUUUCAUUAAUCAAGAACGAAAGUUAGGGGAUCGAAGACGAUCAGAUACCGUACGUAGUCUUAACCAUAAACUAUGCGACUAGGGAUCGGAU
This 486-nucleotide ribosomal RNA is filed under the name uncultured Glomus. RNAcentral describes it as "SSU rRNA". It matches the Rfam family "Eukaryotic small subunit ribosomal RNA", at positions 569 to 1058 of the family's 1831-position model. The record is from RNAcentral. Lineage: Eukaryota; Fungi; Glomeromycota; Glomeromycetes; Glomerales; Glomeraceae.